AUCAUUAAAAUUUCUGCCCUAUCAACUUUCGAUGGUUAGGUCGUGGCUAACCAUGGUUGUAACGGGUACGGGGAAUUAGGGUUUGAUUCCGGAGAGGGAGCCUGAGAAACGGCUGCCACUUCCAAGGAAGGCAGCAGGCGCGCAAAUUACCCAAUCCCAAUUCGGGGAGGUAGUGACAAUAAAUAACGAUGCUGGACAUGUAUAAUGCCUAGCAAUCGGAAUGAGAGCAGUUUAAACCACUCAACGAGUAGCAAUUGGAGGGCAAGUCUGGUGCCAGCAGCCGCGGUAAUUCCAGCUCCAAUAGCGUAUAUUAAAUUUGUUGCAGUUAAAAAGCUCGUAGUUGCAUUUUGGGAGUGAGAGCCUCUGGUCCGCCGGAAUGGUGUGCACCGGGGCGCCGCUUCUUUCCUUCGCAUUGCGGUGCUCGGGCAUUCACUUGUCAGGGCGCAAAGCCGUAUGCGAUCGUUUACUUUGAAAAAAGGAGAGUGUUCAAAGCAGGCAAAAUUUUAGCCGUUGAAUCUUCUAGCAUGGGAUAAUCAAAUAGGACUUGUUUCUUAUUUUGUUGGUUUUCAAGAAAUAAGUAAUGAUUAACAGGGAUAGUUGGGGGUCUUAGUAUUUUCGAGUCAGAGGUGAAAUUCUUGGAUUUCGGAAAGACUAACUUCUGCGAAAGCAUUGACCAAGGAUGUUUUCAUUAAUCAAGAACGAAAGUUGGGGGAUCGAAGAUGAUCAGAUACCGUCGUAGUCUCAACUAUAAACGAUGUCGACUUGGGAUUUCGAGACGUUACAUUUACGACUCCCGAAGCACCAUAUGUGAAAAUAAAGUUUUUGGAUUCUGGGGGGAGUAUGGUCGCAAGACUGAAACUUAAAGGAAUUGACGAAGGGCACCACCAGGAGUGGAGCUUGCGGCUUAAUUUGACACAACACGAGAAAACUUACCAGGUCCAGACAUAGUUAGGAUUGACAGUUUGAGAGCGCUUUCUUGAUUCUAUGGGUGGUGGUGCAUGGCCGUUCUUAGUUGGUGGAGUGAUUUGUCUGGUUAAUUCCGUUAACGAACGAGACCUUGACCGCUAAAUAGUUACGCGAACCUUCUGCCAUGGGGUGAAGGGGCUUGAGCGUCGUGUGCUUCACGGCCGCGGCCUCGGGCUCUGGAUCUCCUGAUGCGUUCGUGGAUAUACUUCUUAGAGGGACUUUUGGCGUUUAGCCAAAGGAAGUUCGAGGCUAUAACAGGUCUGUGAUGCCCUUAGAUGUCCUGGGCUGCACGCGUGCUACACUGAUUAAUUCAACGAGUUUAUCACCUUGGCCGAAAGGUCUGGGUAAUCUUUUGAAAAUUAAUCGUGCUGGGGAUAGAUCAUUGCAAUUAUUGAUCUUCAACGAGGAAUUCCUAGUAGGCGCAAGUCAUCAGCUUGCGCCGAUUACGUCCCUGCCCUUUGUACACACCGCCCGUCGCUCCUACCGAUGAAUGGUCCGAUGAGGACUCGGGACUGCAGCGCAAUUGCUUGGGGCAACUCGAGUAGCGCAUGUUGGAAACCUGUUCAAAUCUUAUCAUUUAGAGGAAGGAGAAGUCGUAACAAGGUA
This 1572-nucleotide ribosomal RNA is filed under the name metagenome. RNAcentral's name for it is "SSU rRNA". It matches the Rfam family "Eukaryotic small subunit ribosomal RNA", at positions 294 to 1801 of the family's 1831-position model. The record is from RNAcentral.